AGCGAACGGACGAGAAGCUUGCUUCUCUGAUGUUAGCGGCGGACGGGUGAGUAACACGUGGAUAACCUACCUAUAAGACUGGGAUAACUUCGGGAAACCGGAGCUAAUACCGGAUAAUAUUUUGAACCGCAUGGUUCAAAAGUGAAAGACGGUCUUGCUGUCACUUAUAGAUGGAUCCGCGCUGCAUUAGCUAGUUGGUAAGGUAACGGCUUACCGAGGCAACGAUGCAUAGCCGACCUGAGAGGGUGAUCGGCCACACUGGAACUGAGACACGGUCCAGACUCCUACGGGAGGCAGCAGUAGGGAAUCUUCCGCAAUGGGCGAAAGCCUGACGGAGCAACGCCGCGUGAGUGAUGAAGGUCUUCGGAUCGUAAAACUCUGUUAUUAGGGAAGAACAUAUGUGUAAGUAACUGUGCACAUCUUGACGGUACCUAAUCAGAAAGCCACGGCUAACUACGUGCCAGCAGCCGCGGUAAUACGUAGGUGGCAAGCGUUAUCCGGAAUUAUUGGGCGUAAAGCGCGCGUAGGCGGUUUUUUAAGUCUGAUGUGAAAGCCCACGGCUCAACCGUGGAGGGUCAUUGGAAACUGGAAAACUUGAGUGCAGAAGAGGAAAGUGGAAUUCCAUGUGUAGCGGUGAAAUGCGCAGAGAUAUGGAGGAACACCAGUGGCGAAGGCGACUUUCUGGUCUGUAACUGACGCU
This 700-nucleotide ribosomal RNA is filed under the name uncultured Bacilli bacterium. RNAcentral's name for it is "bacterial SSU rRNA". It matches the Rfam family "Bacterial small subunit ribosomal RNA", at positions 65 to 747 of the family's 1533-position model. The record is from RNAcentral. Lineage: Bacteria; Bacillati; Bacillota; Bacilli.